Dermacentor andersoni is the source of this 6072-nucleotide long non-coding RNA. RefSeq lists it as uncharacterized. The record is from RefSeq and is a predicted model, not a curated record. Lineage: Eukaryota; Metazoa; Arthropoda; Arachnida; Ixodida; Ixodidae.
CAGAUUUUGUAAAUAUUCGAAUGCGAAAGCGAUUUUUAUUAGUGUGUCGAACAGAUUUUAGGAGCAAGCCAUGACUAGAAAAACUCAGUGAAAACCUUACCACUCCCCACUCUAGGUAAGGCGCCUAAGUAGUGAAAAAAAUUUCUGCUCAAUCGAUUCAGGCGUUAGUUUUAGCGGCCGUAGAACACGGCCACACCAGGUUUUCUGAAGAAGCUCAAAGCCAUUGCCAUUUCACACAACGGCUGGGGAGAGAGCUGUCAUCCUUAGCUUCGAAGAGCUUUCUUCUUGACACUUGUGACUUUAUGAAUGCGUGCACGUUCUCGGUAACGUUCUCGUCAGCGUCAUUCAUCUCAUGACAGCGAACGAAACGGACAGUUCAUAGAUACUUCUUGGAAUGUCUUUGCGAUAGGUGUAUUAGUCUACUUGUUUUGCAUGUCUUAAUUUUUGAGCGAUUUGCCUGUCAUGCUGACGUGUCACAGCGCGCACACGUUAUGCAUAAAACUGAAGCCAGUUAACAAAAAAUAAAGUGAACUGAGAAAGCACUGAUACGAUCACCGCCACACAUAAACAGCGUUGCUAAUUCGGUUAUAAUUAGCGUAAGAAAACAAACCUUCAUCACGCUUAGGAAUCUACCAGGCCCGUUGAGCAGAAAAUGGAAAGGUGAGUGCAUGUGUAAAUAAAGACUGCACUUGUAUGAACAACUGAACCGCGGAAACAUGCAUGAGCAUGCGCUGGUUUAGACUAUAGGCCAUCGGAACACGAACAAUAUAGCAUUUAAGCGCACUUUUACCUUUACUCUAUAAGCGUCAACCAAAAUGUACUAUUUGUUCGUUGCGAAUGGGACGUUAGGCAAGAGUGUUGGAGUUACACCAAAUAUUUAUGAUGUCACAGCCGACAUAUAAUGUACAGGGUGAUCAUUCCGAUGUUUUAGGGAAUCUCUAAAAACACUUGUGGCUGUUAGCCGAACACUUGUCCUUCAACUGAAUUUCUCGAAUAUCCCAACUGUAUUAUCGCGUGAACUCGACACAUAUUCUACUAAUUACCCAAAUUUAACCAAUUUACUUCUCAAAUAUUUACUUUAUGCUGCAUAUGGCAAUUUAAGAAUUGAAACUAACAGGUUGGCAAGGCGUAUCCACUUGUAAUUAAUUUACAGAUAGAAGACACUUCUGAAAUGUGAGUCAUCAAACUCACUGUAAAAAGAAACUGUUGCUCCACUUCAUUUUUUAGCAAAACGCUCUUUAAUGCAUUGAAGCGCAAGAGUAACUGGAACAUCCAUGUACUUGGUUUUACACUUUGGAAAAUAUUAUCUCAAAACUGCGAUCAUCCUGGAAAUUUAUUCAAGUGGAUACGUCUUUCAAGCUCGCCCGCUGCAAUUAGUAAAUGGGAAUAUGUGCCGUAAGGUAAAUUAUUGGGAAGCUAAUUAGUGAAUAUAUUUAAUUUAGCUCAAUACGUGAUUCGAUUAUUUAUGCUAGCAAUGUCGGGCUCUUCGAAAAAUGCACCUCAAGGACAAUAACUAUGUUACCUGGCAGCAUUGCCACAUUCCAAGCUGAACGGGGCUCAGACAGUCUCACUGCGCUUAUUGCAAACAAGUACUGUCGGCCAAAAAAUUAAACGGACCACAGCUUAGCUGCCCGGAGCGGCUGCGGGACCACAUCGGGGCACUGCUAUGUCACUCCGCGCGCUGACGACGAGAGAGCCCCGAAUGAUGCCAGACUUCUCCCUUACUUUAAGGGAUGUAUUGCAAUUGGUGGAAUAAGACUUGUCGUAGAGCUCAGGCAUGUAGUGGUGUAGUCUGUUUUGCGUUGGGUCUGUGUCUGUAGCAUUCUGAGUGUAACCGCUUGAGCUCGAGUAAGCGUGCGGUGAGGCGUGCUGUACUCUCUGCGUUCUAGGUAGUAGUGUUUAGUGAUUUUAUUGUAUUUAGUGGGACGUCCUUGUUCUCCAAGUGGUCGGGUGAAGCCGCGCGGUUUGUAAGCGCGCGCGCAACCUCGUGUGCCGCCUCGUUAAGGUUGGUGACCUCGCCCAUCUUUGGUCCUAAGUGUCUGGGGAACCAGUAUAUUACGUGGGUCUUAAUUUCCUUCCUUGUGACAAUUCUGAGAGCCUUCGCGCAGACCGUGCCCUUUGAAAAACUCUGGUAGCGGCUAUGAAGUCACUGUAGAUGUGAGAGAUUUUCGUCAGUGACCGCAACAGCAAUCGCAACCUGUCAGCCUGUUCUGUCUGGCUAGGCUUCCUUGCAAUUUCCGUGACUGCAUGUCUUGUGGAUCCGCGGCCAUCCACAACCACCACUGCGAAAGCUUUGUUUCCCGCGUAUGCCACCGCGUCCACAAAAACUCAGCAUUCGCUGUUUACCAAGGCUUGGUUAAGGAGGAAUGGUCCACUCUCUUGUCGUCUGCCCCUGUUGUUUUCGGUGUGUACGUUUCUGGGUAUAGGUCGGACCAUGAUCUUGGCGCGGAUGUCCCAUGGGAGGUCUCUUAACGUAUGCCAUUUACUCUGGCCGUGCUCGCAAGCUCACAUAAACUUCUAACCGGACAAGCACAAGUUUGAAGAAGAAAUCCGCCGUGACGAACUCGCUCCCCAGCUCUGGGCCGUCCAGCAGGUCCACGACGCCGCCAGACGUGGACCUGGGGGCGUUCGUCAUUCACGACAGUCGUUCGUCAUUCCUUCGAUAUAACAACACAUCCUACACGGUAAGUGAAUUCUAACUUAGGUUCACAGUCUCCGUAUAUGUCAUGCUAUCGCCAGGAAGUCUUCGCGGCGCUUAGCCGACGCGAUUGACAAUGGACUAGGCACGCGCGCUGUCUCUCGAUGUCAAUCGAAAAAGCCCGUCGUCGCGAUAACUGCAUCUGAUUUUAUCACUUGCCGUUAUCCGUAAGAGCUUUGAAAAUCGUAAACGCUGCCACAAGUGUGGUAUGUUCAAUAAGAUGCCAGGAGAGCGGACGCUUAAAAUGGAUUGCUCACCAGCCUUGAUUCCGACCCUAUGUGGAGCGUGAUUAGCGUGCGUUUUGUGUGUUUGAAUUUAUUCAGUUUGGGAGUCCACUGUGUACUGAACGCCGAUGAAACAAGGAGUUGCAUAACAGAAUGCGUCAUUUUGCUGGCAGCAUACUUUUGUUAUAAAUAAACCGCGCGCUUGACGGUGUCUCGCCCAGGGCGAAUCUGCGACCACCGAAGUUACGUGCAGCACCAGUGCUAGUUAAAAACUUUGCCGCAGACAUUCAGCUGCAUGCUGCAAGAGGUCAAUUGGGCGCGUUAUCUUGAACCUACUGAAAACGCAUGAGGAAUGCAUGUUUUGUGCUGAAUAAAGUAUAAACACCCUAUACGCGAUCUUGCGCGCGACAGCUACAAGCGACGCGAUGGAGAUGGCUGUCGCGUUCGCUCGUCGCCUACAAGUCGUACUCCGUGCGAGCGACGAUUUUGAGCGACGCCUCCCCAUUGUUGCCGGUAUGAGGGCUGCAAUCACGUGUGACGUGUGCUUUAGUAAUUUAUGUUGAUGAAUUUUACUAUAAAAAGUAACAUAAAAUAUUUGCGGAGGUCCUGCAGUAGGUUCUUAUCCUUGCACGUAUAAAAAUUCAAUCAUUUGCUCGUUCUACACGACAAUCGGUAGUACUUGAGCGAUGUACAUCCAGUUCCGGCUUCGCAGUAUUGGCUAGUCGCUCGUAGCACUUGCGGGAGACGAGCGACGAUUUCUAGAUUUCCAGAACCGAGCCAUCGGUUCAAGCGACGGCCCGUUUUGUCGCUCGAAGCCGUCGCUCGUCGUCGUCGCGCACUAAAUCGCUGUCACGGUGUUUAUCCCUAAGAGAACUGUUUUUGCUCAUGUAUUGAAAUGGUGUGAUUAUAGGUCUGGUUUUAUGUCUCCUGUUGCGCUUUUCGAGCACGGUGAGAAACUGAAAGGAUGCUUAUGUCUACGACCUCGCUGGAUUGUGAAGGAGCGAGUUAUGCAACGGCAUCGAAUAUAACGGCUGCUGUGUGGAAUUACAAUUGCAGGUGUGCUUUGCAUACGCUUGUUGUUUUGGACAUGCCUGUGCAUUUGCUAAUAUGAGUUGGCGUGUCAGAGUUAUGUCGAAUGAACAGCUAAAUCAGCCUUCCUCUAGGGUUUACAAGCGUAAUGUGUGCAGUUUGCUACUGCAUGGCAGAUCAAAAUGUGUUUAUCACUUUAAUAUUUUUAGUAGAGAAAUAAAAUAUCAAAAUAAAAUGUUGCUUUAAUUCAGUGUUACCAGUCGUCUGUCGUACAGAGUUGGUCUAAUAAACUAAUAACUGCGGUCAAACUGCAUUUUUUACAUGCCUCCAAGAAUCUAAAAUGCCAGAUUUCAAACUGCAGCAGUAGUCGAGUCUGUCAAAAAUGUACUCCAUUGCGCACCUCAUAAAUGAAAGUACGUUCAUGGCUUUUAGUAAGCUUAGAUGCAGGCCGCAGUGAACUUUCCUGUUAGUAUUGAAAUGUGGGUAAGCUUGCCAUAACUAGCCUUGUUGCCCUUUCUUAUAGGCACAUCCAGUCAUAUCCAUUGAACUGGAGGACAAUAUUUUCAUCCCUAUACAGAGCAUCAUGAUUCAGCUGUGAUCCUCCAAUUAUGGCUUCAACAGUGGCACAAUCAGGGAUGGUGCGGGGGGCACACUGGGCACGUGCUUAGGAUGUGUCACAAGUGGUAUUUCGAUACACCAGACUUAUGACAGACCUAUGAGGUCUGACAAUGACCAAUAUUCAAUUUAUUAGCAGGAGUAUUCUAACAUUAGUGACAAACAAGGAUGAACUAUUGGUUAUUUGUUUCUUGUUUAAAUCUCAAAUUUGAAGUUAGUUUAGCAGUUGACUGUUGCAGUCAUUUGGAUGUUUUGCAUGCAUUUCACUAGGAAGACUAAGAGCUAAGACUUUCUUUUGUUACCAUGACCGUGACUGUCUUGAUGUUGUUUCACACCAUGCCCUUGUGGUGACUUUAGCACAGGAUAUUUUUCAGGCACCCGCUUUAUAUAGCGCAAGAAGGCAGCUGCAAGGAUACAAGGAUGUGAACGAGCCAGUGCAGCGUGACUUCACAUAGUGCAGAGUAGCGAAUGCCAAAAAAUCAAAGUACAUAGUCAUGCAAUUUGGACAAGAAAACUAGUAUGUGGGUAUAUUGGGUGUACCAUUAGAUAAAAUGUCAACAAAAUCAAGAUACAGUGUGUUACACCAAGAUGAAAAUUCCCACGUGCUCUAGGCAGUCAUCUCAACAUGGUAUAUUUAUUUAAUGUCUCUAAUAGGAAAGUCAAAUCAAGUAUGCUCUCUGGAGACAAGCACAUAGCAGCAAAUGUUUAAACGUGUUUAAAAAAAGCUGAUUAGUUGUGAGAAGUGACUGCUUUUGUCUUGCCUCUCAACAGAUAUAUCCAUGUGAUAAAAAAUAGUGGUACAAUGAAAUUGCUCCUUUCCUUAGUGACAUGAUACCUACUUGCAAUGAGUACGGUGCCUGUGUUCACUGUAAAAAGCAACAGCCCAUGCUUCGUUAGGUUAGGCCCAGUACAACAUGCACGUAUUGGGACAACCCAGGACGUAUAUUUCUCAGCACACAGUCAACUGCGAGAAGUGACUCAAACACAGGCCAACAACGGUUCAAGUGGCUGUUAGACAAGCUGGCCCUUUUGACAAGAAGAGGCUCAUUGUGUUGCUACGAGCCUCACUAAACGAAUGAAAAAUGAACCCUCCAACUUGCUUGCCAUGCUGCUUCCUAAAUGAGAACAUUAUCACUGUGGAGGCAGACAUUUCAUUCAAGGGUAAAAUGUCAAAAAUGUUGGGGUGGCUACACUUGGUAAAAUGGACUGAAAUGGACUUUCCUGAUAUUGAUUACUACCUGAGGGGUAAACAUGACAAACAUGCACUGAUAAUAUUGCUACUCACUUCGUAUCCUUAUUCUUCGCCGAACCUCCAUUUUAGUGGCAUGGAUUCCGACGUGUACCCCCCGUUUGCCAAUUUCUGCUCCUCAAAUGCUCUACUUUAGGUUUUUAAAAGUCCUUUAUAUUUUUGUGGUGCUGUAAUAGAUAUAUUAAAUAAGAAUAAAGUACCAUAGAUACUUUUGUUGCUAUCAGAAAUAAAAGCCUACACGUCUGGUUCACCUUCAA